GUAGUUUAAAAACCUUAAGAGGAAGUCUGAAAGGGAAAUCCCGAAAAAAACAAUAUCCGCUAACGGCUGUUACAUUUAUACUUGUGAUUUCUUAUAUCUAUGCACAGAAUGUGGAACUACUGAUAAAGCCAUUGAAACUGCCCCCUAUUUUGUCAAGGACAAUAAUUGACGAGUUUGCUGCUGUUGGAGUACUUCAGGGUUGCUUGGAUUAUCUUAACAGAAGACAGGAAUUGGAAGCGAGGUAAAGCGAAUAAGAUGAACUGUACAGGAUAAGGUACUGAUUUGUCAAUGAAGUUGCUUUCUUUGAAAAUUGAAAUUUCGAAAUCUUGCUGAAAUGUCAAUAAAAACUUCUGUACUCUUAGAAAUUUCAGAAUAAUAUAAAAAAUUAAUCUUUGAAUUUA
This is a non-coding RNA of Cucurbita pepo subsp. pepo (vegetable marrow), 401 nucleotides long. The record is from RefSeq and is a predicted model, not a curated record. NCBI's taxonomy places the organism in Eukaryota, Viridiplantae, Streptophyta, Magnoliopsida, Cucurbitales, Cucurbitaceae.